RNAcentral lists this non-coding RNA (30 nucleotides) under Rattus norvegicus (Norway rat). The record is from RNAcentral. Lineage: Eukaryota; Metazoa; Chordata; Mammalia; Rodentia; Muridae.
UCAGUCAGCACUGUCAGCAUGGUUGUGCCA